GACGAACGCUGGCGGCGUGCUUAACACAUGCAAGUCGAACGAAGAGCGACGGAAGCUUGCUUCUAUCAAUCUUAGUGGCGAACGGGUGAGUAACGCGUAAUCAACCUGCCCUUCAGAGGGGGACAACAGUUGGAAACGACUGCUAAUACCGCAUACGAUCUAAUCUCGGCAUCGAGGAUAGAUGAAAGGUGGCCUCUACAUGUAAGCUAUCACUGAAGGAGGGGAUUGCGUCUGAUUAGCUAGUUGGAGGGGUAACGGCCCACCAAGGCGAUGAUCAGUAGCCGGUCUGAGAGGAUGAACGGCCACAUUGGGACUGAGACACGGCCCAGACUCCUACGGGAGGCAGCAGUGGGGAAUCUUCCGCAAUGGACGAAAGUCUGACGGAGCAACGCCGCGUGAGUGAUGACGGCCUUCGGGUUGUAAAGCUCUGUUAAUCGGGACGAAAGGCCUUCUUGCAAAUAGUGAGAAGGAU
Molecule: ribosomal RNA, 472 nt
Filed under: Veillonella parvula
Lineage: Bacteria; Bacillati; Bacillota; Negativicutes; Veillonellales; Veillonellaceae
Description: bacterial SSU rRNA
Rfam family: Bacterial small subunit ribosomal RNA
Source: RNAcentral